GGCCAUAUCACAUUGAAACACCUGUUCUCAUACAAUCACUGAAGUUAAGCAACAUCAAGCAUGCUCAGUACCUAGAUGAGUGAUCACUUGGGAAUACCAAGUACUGCAAG
Molecule: non-coding RNA, 110 nt
Organism: Acanthosepion pharaonis
Lineage: Eukaryota; Metazoa; Mollusca; Cephalopoda; Sepiida; Sepiidae
Source: the annotation of a GenBank genome assembly